This 85-nucleotide transfer RNA is filed under the name Candidatus Onthomonas avicola. RNAcentral's name for it is "tRNA-Ser". It matches the Rfam family "tRNA". From Rfam's summary of the family: Transfer RNA (tRNA) molecules are approximately 80 nucleotides in length. Their secondary structure includes four short double-helical elements and three loops (D, anti-codon, and T loops). The record is from RNAcentral. Lineage: Bacteria; Bacillati; Bacillota; Clostridia; Eubacteriales; Oscillospiraceae.
GCAGCGGUAUCGAAGUGGUCAUAACGAGCCUGACUCGAAAUCAGGUGUACCUCUGGUACCGUGGGUUCGAAUCCCACCCGCUGCG